UGGCUGUCGUCAGCUCGUGUCGUGAGAUGUUGGGUUAAGUCCCGCAACGAGCGCAACCCUUAUCCUAUGUUGCCAGCACGUAAUGGUGGGAACUCAUGGGAGACUGCCGUGGAUAACACGGAGGAAGGUGGGGAUGACGUCAAGUCAUCAUGCCCCUUAUGUCUUGGGCUACACACGUACUACAAUGGGCUUUAAUAGAGGGUAGCGAAGCCGCGAGGUGGAGCCAAACCCAAAAACAAGCUCUCAGUUCGGAUUGCAGGCUGCAACUCGCCUGCAUGAAGGCGGAAUCGCUAGUAAUCGCAGAUCAGCAUGCGCCGGUGAAUACGUUCCCGGGUCUUGUACACACGCAU
RNAcentral lists this ribosomal RNA (350 nucleotides) under uncultured bacterium. Its description in RNAcentral is "bacterial SSU rRNA". It matches the Rfam family "Bacterial small subunit ribosomal RNA", at positions 1046 to 1395 of the family's 1533-position model. The record is from RNAcentral.